This is a long non-coding RNA of Raphanus sativus (radish), 2953 nucleotides long. RefSeq lists it as uncharacterized. NCBI's taxonomy places the organism in Eukaryota, Viridiplantae, Streptophyta, Magnoliopsida, Brassicales, Brassicaceae. The record is from RefSeq and is a predicted model, not a curated record. The transcript is spliced from 11 exons.
AUCGUUUAAAGGCUCAACAUUCACAACUUCGCUAAUAAUGUCUAAAACAUACAACAUUAGAAUGAACUGGUGAACAAACAGAUCAUAAGUAGGAUACAUAAAAACACACCUUUUGAUAUAAUAAUUUCACCGGCUAUAGUUUCCUUUUCAUAUUGUCGUCCCAACAUUUCUUUAAAUUUCUUGAAAUAAUUAUUUAUAAACUCUUUCAAAAGAGCAUCACAAGGUAUGAUUUUGUUCGUUUAACAAAAAUUUAUCUUUUUUUCAACAAAAAAAUUAUCUUAAAAGGCAGAGAAUUCAUCAUUUACGGUAUAUCGCCAAAAGAACAUUUAUCAAUAAAACUCCACCCAUGGUAGAUAUAGAAGAGAAUCAACAACAAGGAAAUAAGUAGUCUCUGAAUCCUCUGCAGCCCCAAAACUUUCAGCACCGGUGACAAUGUUCUUUAGUUUUUCUUUCAGGUUUAUCUAUGAUGGCAGAAUCAACUAGAUGGAGCAACUCUGGAGAAACAUUUUGCAUUGUAUCCUUUGGUUUGGGUCUAUGUGGGGACUGAACCGGCGGCAAGAUGUAAGCCUCGAUCUGCAGAUCAAGGCAGGGUUCAAGACCAUACUCAGAUAUUCCGUCGAUUAUGCAUGUCGAGAAGCAGAGAGAACCCCGAGCAAAUUACCUCAUUUGGUUCCCAAUCACUCAGAUACCACUACUUUUAUCUUGACAUUGAUAGGUGAAGUGAAUUGACUUGGGUCCAUAGUGAGCUCCUUGUAGGAGUUGCGCUAAGGGAGAAAAUCAGCUAUAUAGACCAAGAAAAGAUAUGUUAGUGAGAUCUGCAGAGCAAGAUGAUAUAGAAGUUCAAAAGCAUCAAAUGGCAGAACAUUGUGAGAAGAACUGUGAGAAGCAAUGUGACUACGAAAUCAAGUAUGCUGAUCUUAGCUCUUCCCUUGGUGUUCUCAUCAACGAUGAGUUUGAUAUCAAUCUCCAGAACGGAUCAGUUGCCGACUUGUAUAUAUUGUUUUCAGGUGUGGAUAUGAUCAGCAAGGUCUACUGUUGAACACGCUGGUAAAAACAGACGGGAUAAUUGGUCUAAGCAGAGCUACAAUUAGCUUGCCUUCUCAACUUGCAAGCCGAGGUAUCAUCAGCAAUGUGGUUGGCCACUGCUUUCCCUCUGAUUUGAACGUCAAGGCUAUAUCAUCAUUGGAAGUGAUUUGAUUCCCUCACACGAAAUCACAUGGGUUCCUAUACUUCACCAUUCUCAAUUGGAAGUUUAUCAGAUGCAAGUUUCAAAAGACAUCUAUGAAAUUGAAGAAGAGCUGAAGCAAUUGAAAGAGUGUGUUUGAAGAUAAGUCCCUAACUGUUUGUAUGUUUGGUUGUCUUAAAAAUGAGUUACUAUUUGUAACUAAAAUAUAAUUUGUAAAUAUAUUAAUGUUUACAAUUGCUGUGUAGGUUCUGCAGUGGGCUCUUUAGAGGAUAAAGCUUUUUUACUUCAGUGAAGACAUGAGAGACAGACACAACCCUUCUCAAUAUGUCAUCAAAUGCAAGUUUCAAAAGACUUCUAUGUAUGCGAAGAAGAGCUGAAGCAAUUGAAAGAGUGUGUUUGAAGAUAAGUUCCUAACUGUUUGUAUGUUUGGUUGUCUUAAAAAUGAGUUACUCUUUGUAACUAAAAUAUAAUUUGUAAAUAUAUUAAUGUUUACAAUUGCUGUGUAGGUUCUGCAGUGGGGUCUUUAGAGGAUAAAACUUUUUUACUUUAGUGAAGACAUGGGAGACAGACACAACCCUUCUCAAUAUGUAAUCAAGAUUGAUGCUAAAGGGGUGAAGGGCAUAUCAGUGAUAGCUGUAAAGCUCCUAGAAUAAAGAAAACAGGGCUUGAGCUGAACAAAAGAGAAAAGGUGUUAUCUUUUCAAUGCCUGAAACUCAUGCCUCAACAUUCUCUAUACAAAGCAAAAGGUGAUUGUAAUCGAGAGAAAGAGUGGGAGAAUUCGGAAGAAGAGUUAUUGUUUUUGGUCGAUGAUAAUCAUGUUAAGGAUUUUCGAGUUAAGCUUGAUCUUCAAUUAUCAGAUUUUUAAGGAUCCUAAGGUCCCGUAGUCACCACUCACCACCAUUCACCAGCAGUAGCACUCAGUGCGUAUUACUCCUUACUAGAGAUAAUUUAUUAUACGUUAAAUCAAGUUUUUUUUUUUGCUUAAAUUAAAUCAAGUUUUUUGUUAUUGUUAUUUAAAUAAUAUCCUUAUCAAUCUCACAUCCCUCCCCAAUGCUAAAUACUUGAUUACAAAACACGUCAUAUCACAUUUAAACACUUGCCGGUCCACUUUUGUAAUGUUAGUUUGACUAGCAAAACUUCAUCAUAAACACAAAGAAAAAAAAUAUUUGAGCAUUAACAACUCUGAAAAAAUCAUAUCAUUUGAAUCUGUAAUUUCAUUUCAAAACUGGGUCCAGUAAUUAAUAUAAUUAUUUAUCAAAAUAAUAAUUUCGUUGGACAGCAAACUUUGCAGUUAUGGGUCAGUACCCAACUGCAACAAAACAACACAUGGUCUCUCAGAUCUCUUCUACAUCUGUCUCUCCCGUCAAUAUCACUUAUUAUUAAAGUAUCUUGAUUUGGUUAGAUUGUUAUUAAAAAUUAAGAAAUAUGAAAAUAGUUAAUACAUUAAUCGCGGUUUUGAGUGGGAAAGAGCAGAUGUGGACACGUGGUGGGAUAUGAUUGGUGAAAGGAACAGUCAAAGGCAACAAAGAAUAGACUGAGGAUAGAUCGAGGCUUACAGUCAAAGCAAGACACUGUCAUGGUCAAGUGUCUAGCUGGAGCUUUUGCUUGUGGUCCCCACUCUCUCUCUCCGCUUUUUCUCUUUUCUCUUUUCUAUUUAAAUUUCGUUUAUUCUCUAAGUAUAGUAUUUACUAUACUUUUCUAUUUAUACAAUUUUAUUUUUGUGUUCUAAUAAUAAUCCACGAAAUUAAGAAAUUAAAUUUUAACUUC